AAGGCACCUCGUUCGGUGAGGCUUCUUCACGGACACAGGCCACUGAUCCGACGACGUCGAGAGACGCCCAGGGUCAGGACAGAUCCUCCCGACCUAAGGGUUGAUCCGAAGUGGCUUCCGGCCUAUGCGGCCGGACACGCCGUGGAGUGCCAAAGCUCUGACGAGUUGGGGUGAGUC
This is a regulatory RNA element of Streptomyces sp. CB02056, 177 nucleotides long. It matches the Rfam family "M-box riboswitch aptamer (ykoK leader)". Rfam says of the family: M-box riboswitch, also know as ykoK leader is described as a metaloregulatory RNA that sense divalent metals and function as a genetic control element of genes related to divalent metal transport in bacteria. The record is from Rfam. NCBI's taxonomy places the organism in Bacteria, Bacillati, Actinomycetota, Actinomycetes, Kitasatosporales, Streptomycetaceae.